UUAAGUUAAUAAGGGCGCACGGUGGAUGCCUUGGCACUAGGAGCCGACGAAGGACGUGACAAACGACGAUAUGCCUUGGGUAGCUGUAAGUAAGCGAUGAUCCAGGGAUUUCCGAAUGGGGGAACCCAACAGGUAGUACCUGUUGCCCGCAUCUGUUAAGGAUGUGAGGAGGAAGACGCAGUGAACUGAAACAUCUAAGUAGCUGCAGGAAGAGAAAGCAAAAGCGAUUGCCUUAGUAGCGGCGAGCGAAACGGCAGGAGGGCAAACCGAAGAGUUUACUCUUCGGGGUUGUAGGACUGCAAUGUGGACUCAAAGAUUAUAGAAGAAUGAUUUGGGAAGAUCAGCCAAAGAGAGUAAUAGCCUCGUAUUUAAAAUAGUCUUUGUACUUAGCAGUAUCCUGAGUACGGCGGGACACGUGAAAUCCCGUCGGAAUCUGGGAGGACCAUCUCCCAACCCUAAAUACUCCCUAGUGACCGAUAGUGAACCAGUACCGUGAGGGAAAGGUGAAAAGCACCCCGGGAGGGGAGUGAAAUAGAACCUGAAACCGUGUGCCUACAACAAGUUCGAGCCCGUUAAUGGGUGAGAGCGUGCCUUUUGUAGAAUGAACCGGCGAGUUACGUUAUGAUGCGAGGUUAAGUUGAAGAGACGGAGCCGUAGGGAAACCGAGUCUGAAUAGGGCGCCUUAGUAUCAUGACGUAGACCCGAAACCAUGUGACCUACCCAUGAGCAGGUUGAAGGUGCGGUAAGACGCACUGGAGGACCGAACCAGGGCACGUUGAAAAGUGCUUGGAUGACUUGUGGGUAGCGGAGAAAUUCCAAACGAACUUGGAGAUAGCUGGUUCUCUCCGAAAUAGCUUUAGGGCUAGCGUCGACAUUAGAGAUUCUUGGAGGUAGAGCACUGUUUGGGUGAGGGGUCCAUCCCGGAUUACCAAUCUCAGAUAAACUCCGAAUGCCAAUGAAUUAUGGUCGGCAGUCAGACUGCGAGUGCUAAGAUCCGUAGUCGAAAGGGAAACAGCCCAGACCACCAGCUAAGGUCCCAAAAUAAUUGUUAAGUGGAAAAGGAUGUGGGGUUGCACAGACAACUAGGAUGUUAGCUUAGAAGCAGCUAUUCAUUCAAAGAGUGCGUAAUAGCUCACUAGUCGAGUGACCCUGCGCCGAAAAUGUACCGGGGCUAAAACAAUUUACCGAAGCUGUGGAUACCUUUAUAGGUAUGGUAGGAGAGCGUUCUAUGUGUGAUGAAGGUAUACCGUGAGGAGUGCUGGAACGCAUAGAAGUGAGAAUGCCGGUAUGAGUAGCGAAAGACAGGUGAGAAUCCUGUCCACCGUAAGACUAAGGUUUCCAGGGGAAGGCUCGUCCGCCCUGGGUUAGUCGGGACCUAAGGAGAGACCGAAAGGUGUAUCCGAUGGACAACAGGUUGAUAUUCCUGUACUAGAGUAUGUAGUGAUGGAGGGACGCAGUAGGCUAACUAAAGCAGACGAUUGGAAGAGUCUGUCUAAGCAGUGAGGUGUGAAUUGAGUCAAAUACUUAAUUCUAUAACAUUGAGCUGUGAUGGGGAGCGAAGUUUAGUAGCGAAGUUAGUGACGUCACACUGCCAAGAAAAGCUUCUAGCGUUUAAACAUACUCUACCCGUACCGCAAACCGACACAGGUAGUCGAGGCGAGUAGCCUCAGGUGAGCGAGAGAACUCUCGUUAAGGAACUCGGCAAAAUGACCCCGUAACUUCGGGAGAAGGGGUGCUGACUUCAAGUCAGCCGCAGUGAAUAGGCCCAAGCAACUGUUUAUCAAAAACACAGCUCUCUGCUAAAUCGUAAGAUGAUGUAUAGGGGGUGACGCCUGCCCGGUGCUGGAAGGUUAAGAGGAGUGCUUAGCGUAAGCGAAGGUAUGAAUUGAAGCCCCAGUAAACGGCGGCCGUAACUAUAACGGUCCUAAGGUAGCGAAAUUCCUUGUCGGGUAAGUUCCGACCCGCACGAAAGGCGUAAUGAUUUGGGCACUGUCUCAACGAGAGACUCGGUGAAAUUUUAGUACCUGUGAAGAUGCAGGUUACCCGCGACAGGACGGAAAGACCCCAUGGAGCUUUACUGCAGUUUGAUAUUGAGUGUCUGUACCACAUGUACAGGAUAGGUAGGAGUCUAAGAGAUCGGGACGCCAGUUUCGAAGGAGACGCUGUUGGGAUACUACCCUUGUGUUAUGGCCACUCUAACCCAGAUAGGUGAACCCUAUCGGAGACAGUGUCUGACGGGCAGUUUGACUGGGGCGGUCGCCUCCUAAAAGGUAACGGAGGCGCCCAAAGGUUCCCUCAGAAUGGUUGGAAAUCAUUCGCAGAGUGUAAAGGUAUAAGGGAGCUUGACUGCGAGAGCUACAACUCGAGCAGGGACGAAAGUCGGGCUUAGUGAUCCGGUGGUUCCGUAUGGAAGGGCCAUCGCUCAACGGAUAAAAGCUACCCUGGGGAUAACAGGCUUAUCUCCCCCAAGAGUUCACAUCGACGGGGAGGUUUGGCACCUCGAUGUCGGCUCGUCGCAUCCUGGGGCUGUAGUCGGUCCCAAGGGUUGGGCUGUUCGCCCAUUAAAGCGGCACGCGAGCUGGGUUCAGAACGUCGUGAGACAGUUCGGUCCCUAUCCGUCGCGGGCGUAGGAAAUUUGAGAGGAUCUGCUCCUAGUACGAGAGGACCAGAGUGGACUUACCGCUGGUGUACCAGUUGUCUUGCCAAAGGCAUCGCUGGGUAGCUAUGUAGGGAAGGGAUAAACGCUGAAAGCAUCUAAGUGUGAAACCCACCUCAAGAUGAGAUUUCCCAUGAUUAUAUAUCAGUAAGAGCCCUGAGAGAUGAUCAGGUAGAUAGGUUAGAAGUGGAAGUGUGGCGACACAUGUAGCGGACUAAUACUAAUAGCUCGAGGACUUAUCCAA
This 2900-nucleotide ribosomal RNA is filed under the name Streptococcus pneumoniae. RNAcentral describes it as "23S ribosomal RNA". It matches the Rfam family "Bacterial large subunit ribosomal RNA". The record is from RNAcentral. Lineage: Bacteria; Bacillati; Bacillota; Bacilli; Lactobacillales; Streptococcaceae.